AAUUUAGUUGGAUUUUUUAUUAUAAUGUCAUGGUGGGUAUAUUCUUAUCUCUUGGAGUCUCUGUGGUGGCUGGGAUUGAUUACAAGUAAGUUUUUCAAUUUUUUAUUUUGCCAUUUUUGGUGUAUAUAUAUUAUGUUAUUGUUUGGCCGACCUUGUGGGUUUGGCCAACCUUGUGGACUAUUUUGGGCGUUGCUCCAGCAGUCCUUAUUACUCCUCUUUGGUGCAUUAAGUAUAUUUAUCAGGUAAGUUUUCAUGGGGUUUUGGGCUGUGUUAUGUGCAUUUCUAGAUUGGUCAUAUUUGUUAUCCAUGCACCGCAAGAGCAUCCUAUCAUCAAUUCUUGAAAUGUGGAGUAUGGCAACUCAACCAAGUUCGAUAUCAGACAUUCAUUUUAUGUCAUAUAUAUACAUUUUCCUCACUAUUAUUCAGAUUUAAUCUUAUAUAUUAAGAAUUGGCCAAUUGGGGCUGAGUGUGUAGUCUUUAUGUUUUGUUUUCUUGCUGUGCUUGCUAGCUACAUCUUUAUUUGUUUAGAAUUUGUUGUUGCUUCUUUUAAGGGUAUUGAGCCUAGUGAAAUUUUGUUAUAAUGAAAGUCUGGGGAGUGAGAUUUUGAUUGGUAGUGUGAUUAGUGAAUCUGGAGGUUACCCAUGAAAAGGUUAAGGGCUGGACACCUAAAAGGCUUUACUUCUAUGUGUUUCAAAGGCCUGAGAUGGGUUCUCGCUGUUAGGUCCUCGAUUCUCUGAAGGAAUUUAAGGCUACUAUAGCUAUGUGAAGUAAGGAACUCUGGGUUGUGAAGUUCUUUGCACCUUGGUAGUGUGGGCAUUGUAAAAGAUUGGCACCUGAGUAGAAGAAGGCUGCCAAUGAAGACACAUAAUUCUAGUAGUGUUAUAUACAAAGCACACUUGCCAAUGAAGACACAUCUAUAUAUGUGAGCCGUGUUACAUGGAGUCCAGAUGGGAACUUUUUUAGUAUGUAAAGUUCUGAUAUUGAAAGUAUUCCUCAACAUCUAUGUCACUCUGAGAGCUUUUCUCAAUAAUUUUUACAUAGCUAUACACCCUGUUUGAAGUA
Molecule: long non-coding RNA, 1062 nt
Organism: Rosa rugosa (rugosa rose)
Lineage: Eukaryota; Viridiplantae; Streptophyta; Magnoliopsida; Rosales; Rosaceae
Exons: 2
Source: RefSeq, a predicted model, not a curated record